Molecule: ribosomal RNA, 692 nt
Filed under: uncultured bacterium
Lineage: Bacteria
Description: bacterial SSU rRNA
Rfam family: Bacterial small subunit ribosomal RNA
Source: RNAcentral
GCUUACACAUGCAAGUCGAACGAAGAGAGAUGGAAGCUUGCUUCUAUGAGAUCUUAGUGGCGAACGGGUGAGUAACGCGUAAUCAACCUGCCCUUCAGAGGGGGACAACAGUUGGAAACGACUGCUAAUACCGCAUACGAUCCAAUCUCGGCAUCGAGAAUGGAUGAAAGGUGGCCUCUAUUUAUAAGCUAUCACUGAAGGAGGGGAUUGCGUCUGAUUAGCUAGUUGGAGGGGUAACGGCCCACCAAGGCGAUGAUCAGUAGCCGGUCUGAGAGGAUGAACGGCCACAUUGGGACUGAGACACGGCCCAGACUCCUACGGGAGGCAGCAGUGGGGAAUCUUCCGCAAUGGACGAAAGUCUGACGGAGCAACGCCGCGUGAGUGAUGACGGCCUUCGGGUUGUAAAGCUCUGUUAAUCGGGACGAAUGGUUCUUGUGCAAAUAGUGCGAGGAUUUGACGGUACCGGAAUAGAAAGCCACGGCUAACUACGUGCCAGCAGCCGCGGUAAUACGUAGGUGGCAAGCGUUGUCCGGAAUUAUUGGGCGUAAAAGCGCGCGCAGGCGGAUUGGUCAGUCUGUCUUAAAAGUUUCGGGGCUUAACCCCGUGAUGGGAUGGAAAACUGCCAAUCUUAGAGUAUCGGAGAGGAAAGUGGAAUUCCUAGUGUAGCGGGUGAAAUGCGUAGAUUUUAGGAA